This 253-nucleotide ribosomal RNA is filed under the name uncultured bacterium. Its description in RNAcentral is "partial 16S ribosomal RNA". It matches the Rfam family "Bacterial small subunit ribosomal RNA", at positions 524 to 776 of the family's 1533-position model. The record is from RNAcentral.
UACGUAGGGGGCUAGCGUUGUCCGGAUUUAUUGGGCGUAAAGAGCGUGUAGGCGGCCAUGUAGGUCCGGUGUGAAAACUCGAGGCUUAACCUCGAGAUGUCAUCGGAAACCAUUUGGCUAGAGUCCGGAAGAGGAGAAUGGAAUUCCCGGUGUAGCGGUGAAAUGCGCAGAUAUCGGGAAGAACACCCGUGGCGAAGGCGGUUCUCUGGGACGGUACUGACGCUGAGACGCGAAAGCGUGGGGAGCGAACAGG